This is a long non-coding RNA of Manacus vitellinus (golden-collared manakin), 347 nucleotides long. RefSeq lists it as uncharacterized. The record is from RefSeq and is a predicted model, not a curated record. The transcript has 3 exons. NCBI's taxonomy places the organism in Eukaryota, Metazoa, Chordata, Aves, Passeriformes, Pipridae.
CAACGAAAAUUACUUCACACGCUGCCUGCAAUUUCCAUACACAGGACUUCAGUGCUUUGGUGGAUGGAAGGAAGGAAGCCUGGAGCAUGCAGAGGGGAAGAUGAGGCACUCGGAUACCAUGGUGAUGAGCAGCUGAGACCUUGUCUGCUGUGCCAGAGCCCGGCCUGGCUGAGACAGGAGCCCACAGAGGGGGAAGGACAGAGAUAAAGGGAAGUACUCUGGACCACGGGCCACCUCCUGAGGAUGGUGUCAAGGUGCUGGCUCCACUCCAUACACUGGAGCAACUCUACUUUCCCACACUCCCAAGUUUUGGGCUCCUGUGCUUUCCCAGAGAAAUACAGCUGUUA